ACCAGACUCCUACGGGAGGCAGCAGUGGGGCCUCUUGGGCAAUGUUCGCCCGCCUGACCCCGCCCCGCCGCGUGCCGGAAGAAGGCUUUCGGGUUGUAAACUUCUUUUGACAGGGAAGAGCAGAAGACGGUACCUGUCGAAUAAGCCACGGCUAACUACGUGCCAGCAGCCGCGGUAAUACGUAGGUGGCAAGCGUUGUCCGGAUUUACUGGGGGUAAAGGGCGUGUAGCCGGGCUUACAAGUCAGAUGUGAAAUCCGGGGGCUCAACCCCCGAACUGCAGUUGAAACUGUAGGUCUUGAGGAGCGGAGAGGCAGGCGGAAUUCCUAGGGGAGCGGUGAAAGGCGGAGAUAUUAGGAGGAACACCAGUGGCGAAGGCGGCCUGCGGGACGACAACUGACGGUGAGGCGCGAAAGCGUGGGGAGCAAACAGGAUUAGAUACCCCAGUA
RNAcentral lists this ribosomal RNA (447 nucleotides) under uncultured bacterium. RNAcentral's name for it is "bacterial SSU rRNA". It matches the Rfam family "Bacterial small subunit ribosomal RNA", at positions 330 to 792 of the family's 1533-position model. The record is from RNAcentral.